UACAGAGGGGGCAAGCGUUGUUCGGAAUUACUGGGCGUAAAGGGCGCGUAGGCGGCCUGUUAAGUCGAACGUGAAAUCCCUGGGCUCAACCCAGGAACUGCGUCCGAUACUGGCAGGCUUGAAUUCGGGAGAGGGAUGCGGAAUUCCAGGUGUAGCGGUGAAAUGCGUAGAUAUCUGGAGGAACACCGGUGGCGAAGGCGGCAUCCUGGCCCGAUAUUGACGCUGAGGCGCGAAAGCCAGGGGAGCAAACGGG
Molecule: ribosomal RNA, 253 nt
Filed under: uncultured bacterium
Lineage: Bacteria
Description: partial 16S ribosomal RNA
Rfam family: Bacterial small subunit ribosomal RNA
Source: RNAcentral